Lutra lutra (Eurasian river otter) is the source of this 634-nucleotide long non-coding RNA. RefSeq lists it as uncharacterized. The record is from RefSeq and is a predicted model, not a curated record. The transcript has 3 exons. Lineage: Eukaryota; Metazoa; Chordata; Mammalia; Carnivora; Mustelidae.
CCUCAUUCGAUUUCACUGACGCCUGGCCAAGUGUGUGUACUCAACUCCAGACUGAGAGCCCUGGCUUCUGCAGGAUACUCUCAUCAUCACACUCACUCUUCUGAGGUCCUAGCCUGUUUGUGAUCUCUGCUUUCUGACUGCCCGCCCUGUGGAUACCAGGCUUGCUUAACCGGUUCCUACACCUGGGUGUCAGUGUGAUGGCUGGAACUGCCUUUGGUAUAAAUGUGAUGGACCUGCAGUAAUCAUCUUGGAAACAUAAUGCAAUGAGCCAAUACGGCAACUUUACCUUCUGUAUCCCUUCUCCUGGCACUGGUCAUACUUAUCAGAGAUGGAAUAGAGAUUUUCCCCCUUAUUCUUCUAUUUGUUCUAAGAACCAGAAAGAAGAGGUAUUAAACUUAUUAGCAAGGAAAGAAGGCCUUAUGAGUGGUAAGAAACUGUAUUUCCAGCUUAUUUGUAAGAUCUUGCAUUUUGAUGUUAUGAAUUGUCCCCGGGGUUCUUAAAAUAUUAAAUAAAACAAUAAAAAGGUAAUAAAGAACUUUUAAUAGCCUAAGGUAGACAAUAUAGUUCUUCUAGUGGAAAAAUUAUGAUGUAAUAUUAAAUCACUCUUCUUCAUGAAGCUUUUCUUUUUAAGUGA